Molecule: non-coding RNA, 2717 nt
Organism: Salvelinus sp. IW2-2015
Lineage: Eukaryota; Metazoa; Chordata; Actinopteri; Salmoniformes; Salmonidae
Source: RefSeq, a predicted model, not a curated record
CAGCGUGAUAAUGACGGGGGCGUACAACAGCUUCUUCCGGAUGUUUGACAGGGAGACGGGGCGGGGCGUGACCCUGGAGGCGUGGCGAGAGACCAGUAAGCCGCGAGCUGUCUGCGGACGCGACGGAUCUACACCGGGGGCAAGCGUCGUCGCGGCGACGUGGGGGUGGACAGUCUGGACUUCACUAAGAAGAUCUCUCCACAUGGCCUGGCACCCGAGAGAACAUCAUCGCCAUCGCCUCCACCAACAACCUCUACAUCUUCCAGGACCGGUCAACAGCAUGUCACUAGACGUCCCGUUUAACGGAUUCCCUUUAUGAUCACAACACCUCAGCACAUUGGAUACACCGGACACCUUUACACACAGCUGGUGAGAGUGGCACUUCUGGACACCUAGUGACAACAUCUGGAUGAAUCUAGACACUGGUGACUCAUCUGGAUGAAUUUAGACACCUGGUGACCCAUCUGGACACCUGGUGACCCACCUGGAUGAAUCUAGACACCUGGUGACUCAUCUGGAUGAAUUUAGACACCUGGUGACCCAUCUGGAUGAAUCUAGCACCUGGUGACCCAUCUGGAUGAAUCUAGACACCUGGUGACACAUCUGAAUGAAUCUAGACACCUGCUGACCCAUCUGGAUGAACCUAGACACUGCUGACCCAUCUGGAUGAAUCUAGACACCUGCUGACCCAUCUAGAUGAAUCUAGACACCUGCUGACCCAUCUUGAUGAAUCUAGACACCUGGUGACCCAUCUGGAUGAAUCUAGACACCUGCUGACCCAUCUGGAUGAAUCUAGACACCUGCUGACCCAUCUGGAUGAAUCUAGACACCUGGUGACCCAUCUGGAUGAAUCUAGACACCUGCUGACCCAUCUAGAUGAAUUGACACCUGCUGACCCAUCUGGAUGAAUCUAGACACCUGGUGACACAUCUGGACACUUCUGGACACCUGGUGACACAUCUGGACACAUCUAGACACCUGGUGACACAUCUGGACACCUGGUGACACAUCUGGACACCUGGUGCACAUCUGGACACUUCUGGACACCUGGUGACACAUCUGGACACUUCUGGACACCUGGUGACUCAUCUGGACACUUCUGGACACCUGGUCCCAUCUGGAUGAAUCUAGACACCUGGUGACUCAUCUGGACGAAUCUAGACCACCUGGUGACACAUCGGGAUGAAUCUAGACACCUGGUGACUCAUCUGGAUGAAUUAGACACAUGGUGACACAUCUGGAUGAAUCUAGACACCUGGUGACUCAUCUGGACGAAUCUAGACACCUGGUGACUCAUCUGGAUGAAUCUAGACACCUGGUGACUCAUCUGGACGGAUCUAGACACCUGGUGACCCAUGUGGAUGAAUCUAGACACCUGGUGACUCAUCUGGACGAAUCUAGACACCUGGUGACUCAUCUGGAUGAAUCUAGACACCUGGUGACUCAUCUGGACGAAUCUAGACACCUGUGACACAUCUGGAUGAAUCUAGACACCUGGUGACCCAUGUGGACCAUCUAGACACCUGCUGACCCAUCUGGAUGAAUCUAGACACCUGGUGACUCAUCUGGACACUCCUGGAAAGCUGAUCCUAGAUCUGUGCCUAAGGGCAACUUCUACCCGAGCUACUAAAUCACUUAUGCUUCCAUCCAUCCACUCACAUAGGCUCUGACCCAAAUGGACCCUAUUCCCUAUAUAGUGCACCUCUGGGUUCCACUACCUGGGACCAUAAGGCUCUGGUCAGAAGUAGUGCCCUAUAAAGGGAAUACUAGGUUGAUCGUAUUCUCAUGUCAUCCACCAUGUUCUGUAAAUACUGUCUGUCUGUCUGUCUGUCUGUCUGUCUGUCUGUCUGUCUGUCUGUCUGUCUGUCUGACCUAGUUAUCUCAGUGGUCAACCAUUACAUAGAGUCAGAGUUAUAUAGUGAGACUGUGCAGGAUUUUGUUCCAGACCACCAACAACACACUUUGAAUAUAGCUAAUCAAGUGGAUUAGUCAAAAUCAGGUGAGUUAGUGCAGGGCUGGAACAAAAGCCUGCACAGCUUGUACUGAUGGUCUUCUAGGGUUGGUGGCCACUCGUUUAAAGGGUCAAUCUGGGAUUGAUUCUCGUCCUGGGUCGGUGGCCACUGGUUUAAAGGGUCAAUCUGGGAUUGAUUCUCGUCCUGGGUCGGUGGCCACUGGUUUAAAGGGUCAAUCUGGGAUUGAUUCUCGUCCUGGGUAGGUGUCCACUGGUUUAAAGGGUCAAUCUGGGAUUGAUUCUCGUCCUGGGUUGGUGGCCACUAGUUUAAAGGGUCAAUCUGGGAUUGAUUCUCGUCCUGGGUUGGUGUCCACUGGUUUAAAGGGUCAAUCUGGGAUUGAUUCUCGUCCUGGGUCGGUGGCCACUGGUUUAAAGGGGCAAUCUGGGAUUGAUUCUCGUCCUGGGUUGGUGGCCACUCGUUUAAAGGGUCAAUCUGGGAUUCCGCGACAUCACACCGCUUGAGUUCUCUCUCCUCCAAUCAUACACAGUAGUGUAGUGGCGUCAGCGCGGCAACCUCACGGCUAACCAAUCAGUAAGAGUGUUGUUGUGCUGUGGUCAGGACCAUUGCAACAGUAGCAUGUUAUCCAGUGUUACUGUCGUUGUAUAUCUAUCAUACCUGUAUAACUAAUAGUUAUCUAAACACUCCCAAUGAACACUUGAUGAAGGAAUGUGUAUACAAAAAUAAAUUAAAUKAUGUGAAUCUGAG